CCAUAUUAUAUCAAAGCCUGUUACAAUGUUAUAACAACAUUAUAGACUAUAUCUGAUUAUAUUACAUGAGAGAUUAAAUUCGACUAGAUCUCAUCACUUGGUGACUAAGAAAGCUGUCUGUCUUUGUCCUCUGCCGUGGUGUAUGCUGAUCCCGUUUGUGUAUUGGUGUUCAUCCCACACCCCACACAGUGUGCUUGCUCUGCUGCUCGGGCUGUGGGACGGAUGUGACCCAAUAACCAAGGAGUGUGUCUGUGACCCCUUUUGGACAGAGAACCUCAUUCGCCGGAUCUUUGGAGAGAGCAACUGUGGAGGAGGCGCACUAAGGUCGGGAAGAAAACCAAGUACACUAUACUGGACAACAUGGACGAACAGGAGAAAAUGGAGCUGAGGCCCAAAUACAACAUCAAACACAGGAGCACGGAGCACAACUCCAGCCUCAUGAUGUCAGAGCUGGACAGUGACCAGGACACCGGACCGACCGGUCCGGAGCAGAAACCGGACCAAUGCUCAGGCUUCCCGCAACGGGAACACCUACGGAUGAGCAGGAACACACAGAACUGGGGUGGUUAUUGUACAACAUGAGGGAAACCCACUCUUGGGAUUAUGGCCGGGGUGCACAGCUCGAGUGCCAUAGUGUCUGCUUGUUUUUGGUCUCGUCUUCUAUUCAAAUACUGGUUUCGACCAGAUGUGUACUUUCUAUGACAACUCAGCACCAGGGAGAUGUGAAAAUCCAAGGGCUGUAGGAUAGUAGAGUUGGGCAUCCCUGGAUUCUGGGAACUAACAGUAGCAUUAACUUUACAUGCAUACAGACGGUUUGAAUAAUUUGACACUAAGGAUGAAGGUGCUCUUUGUGAGGAGGUUCUGUGGCCUCACAUACUUCUACAGAUAACCAGAUUGGUGAAUGUACAUACAACUAUCCAUUAUGCAUACUAGUCUACCGACUACUACUGACCUUUAACUUUGCCUUGUUAUCCAAUGUUUUUUUACUGUAAUUAUUUUGUAGGAAAUGGAGACAAGCCCAACCCUGGUUGUGAGCAUCUGACGCCUCUCCUGUAAAUGUUUUGACAAAUUGGAUUUGUCAAAAUGGCUAGAUGGAAAAGUCUAAAUUCUUAUGUUUAGUACCCAAAGUCCAUCUUGUGAUGCUACUCGUGAAUCAUUUAAUCAGAAUCAAACUCAAUUUAUCUGUGAUCUCUAUGAGUGUCUUGGACUUUGACACAAUACAUCACAGCAUUAUAUUGUAUUUGACCUACUGUUUUGAGUUAGCACACUUGUCCUCCAAACUAGUAUAGUUUUGGUAUCUUUCUCAUUUUAAAGCUUCUUUAUGCUAAAUAAGCAUAAUGCGUCUUAUAAAUGGGCCCGAAGAAACAUAACCAGCCAUUUCAUGGGACAAGCCAUAAAGGUGCCAAAAUGCACUAUAAGCCUGUGGCUAACAGAGACCCUAUUAUAUCCAAGUACUUGGUAAUGCAUCCAUUCUUCCUUCCCUUGGCAAGAUCUAUUAUCUAACUUGAACAUGGUGGGUAACAUGCUUUCAAUCAUUAAUUCCUUUGCGUAAUGAUGGAUUUCCCCCCCCUCUCAUUCACUGUCAGAGAAUGUCUGAUUACAUGAGUAUAGUGGCAAAUAAUUAGGACACACAGCUUAAGGAUUAAGAAGAGGACAGAUGGAAUUGAUAAUUAACAUUACUUUGCAGGACAGGUAGCCAUUGAUGGAAUGGAUCAAAUACUUGACAUUAAACCAACAUAAGCAUG
Molecule: long non-coding RNA, 1745 nt
Organism: Oncorhynchus nerka (sockeye salmon)
Lineage: Eukaryota; Metazoa; Chordata; Actinopteri; Salmoniformes; Salmonidae
Exons: 3
Source: RefSeq, a predicted model, not a curated record